GGACUACUGGGGUUUCUAAUCCCGUUUGCUCCCCUGGCUUUCGCGCCUCAGCGUCAGAAGAGGCCCAGCGCGCCGCUUUCGCCACCGGCGUUCCUUCCGAUAUCUACGCAUUUCACCGCUCCACCGGAAGUUCCGCACGCCCCUGCCUCCCUCGAGGCCAGCAGUAUCCCAGGCACUUCCCCCGUUGAGCGGGGGGCUUUCACCCCAGACUUGCUGGCCCGCCUACGCGCCCUUUAAGCCCAGUGAUUCCGAACAACGUUCGCACGGUUCGUCUUACCGCGGCUGCUGGCAC
This 292-nucleotide ribosomal RNA is filed under the name uncultured Planctomycetota bacterium. RNAcentral describes it as "uncultured planctomycete partial 16S ribosomal RNA". Lineage: Bacteria; Pseudomonadati; Planctomycetota. The record is from RNAcentral.